GUUUCUGAAUUAGACGUGCGGCUAAGCACGGGAAGGAAAUCAGAUUAAAAAGGAUCUUGCUAAUGGGGAGGUUACUUUGUUGGAAGCCUUCCUUCCACAUCUGUUGUGAAUAUUGUCCGCUCCAGGGAAAGCCUCCCAGAGAUAAGCAAAUGCUACUUCCCACCAUUGCAGGGUAAAAUUCUCUUAUCAACAGAGCAGCAACUUACCGUCAGCCUUGGGGCAGAAGCAUGGUCCCUCUCCAAGGAGUGUCGCUAUAUAUAGGGAGCGCUGGACCCAGCUACCUACAGUGAACCAGCUUUUGGCAAGGUCUCUGACCAGCCCAGAGGAGGAGACUGGAGCAGCAGGAGUGGGAAGAUUGUACUCUACUGGCAUUCCAGAAACGGCGGUCCAGGUAAGAGCAGUAGAGGAAAGAGGCAGUUUCAGGUGCUGCAGAAAAUACAUUACCAGUAGCACUGGAUUCUAACCCAUACUGAGCACAUUCUCCAUGAACAUCACUCGGAGCAGAGGCCUUCUGUCCUUACACAUUUAAAGCAGAUUUGCCUCAGUAUUGUCUGCUCUGAGGGGUGAAGUAACCAUUCACUUAGAUCAGCUUAGAAUGGUUUUUCUUCCAGCUGUCCCAACAAAUUCCCCCCACCACUGGUUUCUUCUGUGGAAGCGUAUCUACUCUACAGAGCUGCCUUGAUUGACCCUAUCUCAGCAAACUUCUCCUGAGUCAGGCUAACAUGCAACAGCAUGACCAUGCCAUAACCCAACAAGUGUGUGCUGUGGCGGGCUAUGACUCCCUGUGUCCGCACUAGCACUGCAUCCACUUGUGUUAUGCUAAGGCUUCUGGGAGUGUGUCCCAGGGUUCACAGCAUCACUACAAACUGCACCACUCUCCCUAGGCAUUGUGAGAGAACUCUGCUCCCCGCCAGGUGGGGAUUGGAGACUGCAAAGAUCUAAAACCUGGAAACUCCCACAAUCCACCCAGUUUCAGGAAGCCAGCAGGUGUGGUGGCAUGGAUCCUGCACAGAGAAACGACGCACUGCUGCUAGUAGCAGUUUUUAUGGAGCUACUGACGAGAGGCAAGAGAAGCAGGUACAGCAGAAAGCAGCAGUAGGUGUCCCAGCAGCACAGAAUGGCAAGGUGAGAUGUUGACAGGAGAAUGUGUCAGCUACAUGCAGAGCUUCAGGAGAGAACUAAGAAGAUAAAGGGGAAUGUUUUAGACUGAGUGGGUUCAAGAAUCUGAACCUUUACAGGCUACUUUGUACUAGACCUGUGCCAGAGCCUGGCAAUGAGAGGUGACCUGUACUCUCACGUUUGCUUUGUAUGACGGAGACAAUAGCAACGUGUAGAUGCUGGGGCAAAUGGCUCUAUUUUGGUACAUUUCGUCAACAAACCAGCAUAAGAAAGCUCAUUACUUGAAUACAUGCAAAAGCCAAUUAUUUUUUUCUAAAACGUGAGGUCUUCCAAGAGAGGGAUAUUUCAAAACCCUUUCUAGUGAAGGAUUAGCAGCCAGAUUGUUAUCGUCAGUAUGCAACAGAACUUGAAAAGUGCCAGGCAGUUCAGUAUGACUGGAUGAAAAGGAAGGAACAGUUUAAAUGUUAGUGGUGGUUACUCACUGACAGCAGCAAUGCAAAUGCUCUUGCUGAAUUCUGCAAGUCAAGCUCUAGACAGGUUCUGGUGUGCUAAAUGCAGCUGGCAGACCUUUCAGCCAAAGAUUAUUUAUUUUACAAAAAAAAAUUAAAAAGCAGCAGAAUUGGCAAUGCUAAAAUGCGUAGAUUUGUGUGGCUUUCACAGAAUUGCGUGUAUCAAAAUUUCAAGAGUCAAAGAUGUUUUGACUUUUUAGUUCCACACAAUUUUGUUUAAAAAUGUAAAGAAAACUCAAUCAGAACAAAUGUCUCAUUCACCCCAAAAACAAAUUUUUUGCAACUUUUAAAUUCACUGAUAUUUUAAAACAAAAACAAAAACAAACAAAAGAAAAACAAACCACACACCAUCUGGAUUUUGGCUCAAACCCUUCUCCCAAAGCAAAAAAAAAAGGGGGGAGGGGAGUUUUUGAAUUGCCAGGAUACUGAGAAACCCACAUGGCUCUCAAGACCAAGUGGCAUGGGGCAUGUGACAGAAAGUAGGUGUUCUAAUCAGAUACAGGUAGUGAAAUUACACAUCAGAAUCAGUUCUCCACCCCCUGCACUGGGCUUGAAUGCAUGGGGUACCACUGCUGUGACAUUAGCACAUAUGCCUUCCUCAUAGCAGAGAGGGGACGUCAUAAGAGCAGGAAUAACAUGUUGUGCACCAGUGAGGUGUUGCCUCAUUCCUGAUCUUUGGGCAUGCUCCCUUCUGCUGCCUGCUUGGCUAACCUUGGAUGCUUACGGUACCAUGUGGAUACAUGAUGGAUGCCUGGUUUAUGAGCAGAGAUUAAAUAACUAACUGUGCACUGGCAAACAUGCAAAAAUCCUGCACUGUUUGCUUAGUGUGCUAUAAAGAGACAAUCCAACUGUGUCCUGCUUUUGAAAGGGGCUCAUGUCACAACAGGAUACUGUGGCUGAAUCAGAGCUCCUUUGCCCUCUGCAGUCUGGUAAUGGUUUUUCACCCACCCCACUUCAAAUCCAUCUGGGGAUGUGCGUGCUGGAGGGGGAGAGGGUGAAAGCUGGAAGUUAGUGCCCACCAGGGAAGCUGUAUCUGUCAUUAGUCAUUAUUCCCACCUUUUUGUUCAUAGUGUCGCCCCCCCAUACCCCAUAACAAGUAAUGCAGUGCACAUCACCCAUAGGCAAGGUCAGCAAGGGGACUUACUGGGCUC
Long non-coding RNA from Gopherus flavomarginatus (Mexican gopher tortoise), 2779 nucleotides. RefSeq lists it as uncharacterized. The record is from RefSeq and is a predicted model, not a curated record. The transcript has 3 exons. Lineage: Eukaryota; Metazoa; Chordata; Testudines; Testudinidae.